AAACAUCAAUGCGGCUUCGCAGCAGGAGUUGGAGGCGCUGCCGGGCAUAGGCCCUGCGAAGGCGAAGGCCAUUGCGGAAUACC
Molecule: ribosomal RNA, 83 nt
Filed under: Neisseria meningitidis NM183
Lineage: Bacteria; Pseudomonadati; Pseudomonadota; Betaproteobacteria; Neisseriales; Neisseriaceae
Description: partial 16S ribosomal RNA
Source: RNAcentral